RNAcentral lists this long non-coding RNA (746 nucleotides) under Calidris pugnax (ruff). Its description in RNAcentral is "lncRNA (ENSCPUG00000018804.1)". The record is from RNAcentral. Lineage: Eukaryota; Metazoa; Chordata; Aves; Charadriiformes; Scolopacidae.
CUCGCUCUGAGGGGGCUGUCCUGCCUGGCCCCGAAGCCUCGCUGUCCGCACGGCUACCGGGUUCUUCUGCCCGUUGUAAACCAAGGGGUGCCCGGUUCAGGAGGCUGUUUCUACAACCCCUCGUUUUGUAACUGGAUGGUUACAAAAUGGCUACAGCGAGCCGCAUGCCGUCACACCUGAGCAGUGGGGUGUAAACCUCUCCAUACAAACAGGCUGUAGGAUCUAAAAACCACAGAGCUGGGUUACAGAAGAUGCCAACUGUAAAACAACUGCACCAGGAAGUUAAUUUACCAAGAGCAAAGAUUUAGCUCAAAUGUUGAUGGAGCAACUGACUUGAGGUGGCUGAACUUAGACAAUCUGGAUCCUCUUAGCACCUUUGGAGAGAAAGGAGCAUUUUCAGACACGUCUCAGACACUGCCAUGGAUUUAGAGGCUAAUCAAAGGUUUGCAUUAACUGCAAUGCAAGAGGAAGUGGCAAUAUACAACCUGAGGCCCAUUCUGUGGAAUCAGAAGACGGUGAAAGACUUCAGGAGCAGCGUGCCUUGAAUUUGAAUUAGCCAGACUGAAUUUAAAAUCAACAAGCUGAAAGAGCCUGAGAUAAGAAGUCAGAACAUUCAGAGGAAAUGAGAACUGUUCCGGGAACUAAAGGUGAGAGAAACACUAAGUCACAUUAAAAAUAUUCAGCAAGUAAAAGGCACACCUUUUCUUUUUCUGGACACCUUUUCUUAGAAGUCAUCUAUAAUCAGU